RNAcentral lists this long non-coding RNA (374 nucleotides) under Mytilus galloprovincialis (Mediterranean mussel). The record is from RNAcentral. Lineage: Eukaryota; Metazoa; Mollusca; Bivalvia; Mytilida; Mytilidae.
CGUUAGGCGGGUUGCUGGUCUGAUUAUCUUUUUCGCGAAAAUUCAUAUGCGCUGAAUAAAUAAAGUCAACAGUAGUAUACCGCUGUUCGAAACUCAUAGAUCGAUAGAAAAAAAAUCCGAGUUACAAACUAAAACUGAGGGAAACUCAUUAAUUGUAAGAGGAGAACAACGACACAACAUUAAAAUGCAACACACAGAGAAACGAACUAAGCAUUAGACAAAAUUCAAUGAGAAUAACAAAUAUAACAUCAAAACUAAAUACAUGAAUUUUGGAUAGAAAAGUACCGUGACACGUCUAAUAGUAAUGUGAAUGCACACUCAAAUAUAUGAGGUAACAAACGACACAACAUAAACACAACGUUAUAAUGUAUCAC